CCCCGCCAGAGGGACGGAAGCACCAAGUCGCUGGAAUCCUCUGGAGUCGUCGUCGGUGGAAAUUUAAAGAUGUAUGGCCCAGUUUGUGCACAGGGUGCGCGCCACUUGCGAAUUUAAAUCGGGCCGGCUUGCAUUUAAGUACCCCCGACAGAAGGACGGAAGCACCAAGUCACUGGAGACCUCAGGAGUCAUUGCCGGUGGAGAAUUGGGGAUGUUUGGCCCAAUUUGUUGCAGUCGCAGGGUGCGCGCAACUUGCAACAUUUGAGUUGGACCAGCGUUGCAGGCACUCCGCCAGUCGUCAACAUUGAAGUUCCGAUGUGGAUCCCGCGCAGCCGUCAUUGUGGUCAUUUUAGAGUUGCUGGCACCACCGGGUCGUGGUGCACCGUUUGGCGGUGGAGUCUGCCUGAAUUUGGGCAGGGAACUCAUCGCUUUAAGUGGAUUCGUUACGCGCUACGUCUGCCAAUAAGCUGCCAACCCGUUCUCUGGUUUUUUCUCCAGUUGUCAGGAGGGUCCAGAACGCUGUCAGUUCCCGCGCCGCCGUCCCGUUUCAGGGUCCAGAACGCUAUCAGUUCCCGCGCCGCCGUCUCGUUGCAAGGUCCGAAAAGUUUCUGCAUCUCAGCUAGUGUCCUUCAGGAAUCGGCAGGGAGGUCAUAAUUGACUUGAAGUCGUCAGAAUUGCCGCUUUCGUAGGCCAUCUCGCCAGGAAUAGAGGAGCAUCUUAUAAUCGCCGGGCCAAAAUGCUUUGCCGUAGGCCGCCGCUCGAGAAAGUCCAUGGAAUUGGAUGUAGAAAAUUGUGCCUAUGUGUUUAAUUUUUUGUUUUUGUCUGAUUGGCAUUUGUCUUUUCUUUUACAGGUCCAGUUGUCCGGGAGUUUUUAAUUUGGAAAUCAAGGGAUGAGAGGCUAAUAAAAAUGUGCAAAUUCGUGUAGUCAGACAACAGGCAUUUUGAAGAGCCUCGGACCCUAGUUAUUUGUUUGUAUUGGCAGAGAGGGGCGUUGUCGUUGUUAUUAAUUUCCAGUUGUUUUUCUGGUUUGUAAUUUAUUAACAAUUGCUCUAUUUUUUACAGGAGAGCUGCCGAGUUCGAUUUGGAAGUAGCAUGGGCUGGAUAUGCAGUGCCGUGGAUUGGACGCAAUAGUUGUCACUGGAAGUCAUUGAGGGGAAAAAGACGAAUUUGGAGUGCGCGAAUUUUUUCACUACCGACAUCAGCAGCGCCACGCACUGUGGUCCACUGUGACGAGGGUAGACUGUGGCAUGGAGACGCCAUUAAUUCUCGUCAGUUUGCUGCGACAGUUGCGUUGCGCUAGGGUUACGCAUGUAAAAUGAAUUCGUCUAUUUAAAGGGUUUCGUCAGUGUAACCUUGCUGCGGGAAAAAGUCAAAUUCGAGGGUCACGAUUUCGACCUUUUGCCGGGUCAGCAGCGCCUCGCCUAGGGUCCAGAAAGUCGAAGGGGCAUCCCCACAUGGAGACGGUAUCAAAACAUUAUACGUUUUAUAUGUUUUAAGUGCCAAAAUCUCCAUUUUCGGUUACGUCGAGUCGGGAAGUAGUCAGUUGCGUAGUUUUAUGCUUUUAUUGAUUUAUUUUAUUCUUUUUCAGGGUCAGCGUCAGUAUUCUAAUGCUGCGGGAGAAAGGUCAAAAUUUAAGGGUCACGAUUUCGACCUUUUGCCGGGUCAGCAGCGCCGCGCCCAAGGUCAAGAAAGUCGAGGGGGCAUCACCACAUGGAAAUGGCAUCAAAACAUGAUACGCUUUAUAUGUUUUAAGUGCCAAAAUCUCUAUUUUCGGUUACGUCGAGUCGGGAAGUAGUAAGUUGCGUAGUUUUAUGCUUUUAUUAAUUUGUUAUAUUCUUUUUCAGGGAUGUUGUCAGUAUACCGUUGCUACCAGGAAAAAGUCGAAUUCAAGAGUCACGAUUUUGACCUUUUGCCGGGUCAGCAGCGCCGCGCCAAGGGUCAACAAAAUCGAGGGGGCUUCUUAACAUAGA
Molecule: RNA transcript, 1970 nt
Organism: Drosophila teissieri
Lineage: Eukaryota; Metazoa; Arthropoda; Insecta; Diptera; Drosophilidae
Exons: 4
Source: RefSeq, a predicted model, not a curated record